AACUCAGCAAGGUUCUUUUGCCAAGAUCUUACCAAAGCAACUUGUGGUUGCUCACAGGGACGAUGAUGAGUUGUGAUGUUCCAACAAACCCUAAUUUGGUUCUUUGCCAGAACUAAUUGAACAUUAAAAAAAAAAUCAGUUCAUUGAUCGUUAUUGUGGAACACAUUCAGGCCUUGGAACAAUUUUCAAUCUUGAGAAGUUCCUCAUGCGCUAAGUGACAGUUUUUCUUGCUUGCCAAUUAACAUAAAGCUUGUUUUCAUUGGUACUUCUUAAAAUUGUUUUUAGUGCAAUUUUUUUUUUAUA
Dendrobium catenatum is the source of this 303-nucleotide long non-coding RNA. RefSeq lists it as uncharacterized. NCBI's taxonomy places the organism in Eukaryota, Viridiplantae, Streptophyta, Magnoliopsida, Asparagales, Orchidaceae. The transcript is spliced from 2 exons. The record is from RefSeq and is a predicted model, not a curated record.